AUAAUAAUAGUUAUUUCUAAGUCGCCAGUCUAUACACAUCUUUAGGCUUCCGAAUGCUGUACCGUUGCCUGGCUGUUUAAAAAAAUAAAAUCGCGGCGUGUAAAACAUUGCGCGGGAAAAUAAAAAAGGGCGGGAAAAUAAAGUAGCGCCACAGAUAAUAACUAAUGUGGAUUUUAGACUUAUCAAGGAGGUUUUAUUACUGAGUUUUGUAGAUAAUUAAUAUGCUAGAGUGAUUUUAAUACAACUAAUACCUAUUGUGUUCGUAAAUUACCAUGAUGCAGUUAAUAUUUAUUGGAUUAAUGGUGUUGGCUAGCUCAGUAAGGUCACAAGAAGCGAUACUACGAAAUGAUUUUGAAGGACCACACCCCGACGGCACUUACAGAUGGGCGCUACAAACUGAAGGCGGUAUAUACCACGAGCAGCGUGGAUCACUACAAGAGACGAUAGCUGGUCCCAGUCUGGUGGUGGAGGGGCAGUACCAAUACACCGCGCCUGGUGGCCAGGUGAUCCACGUGUUAUACAAAGCUGACGAGCGUGGAUUCCAACCCAUAGUUACGUAUAGUUUUAAUUAGACAUUAAGUUUGUUACUUGUUACGAUCAGAUAAAUAUAUCUAUUGAAAUAAA
This is a long non-coding RNA of Leptidea sinapis, 624 nucleotides long. RefSeq lists it as uncharacterized. Lineage: Eukaryota; Metazoa; Arthropoda; Insecta; Lepidoptera; Pieridae. The transcript has 4 exons. The record is from RefSeq and is a predicted model, not a curated record.